Molecule: microRNA precursor, 75 nt
Filed under: Danio rerio (zebrafish)
Lineage: Eukaryota; Metazoa; Chordata; Actinopteri; Cypriniformes; Danionidae
Description: microRNA dre-mir-100 precursor (dre-mir-100-2)
Gene: dre-mir-100-2
Rfam family: mir-10 microRNA precursor family
About the family: In this case the mature sequence comes from the 5' arm of the precursor.
Source: miRBase by way of RNAcentral
AGCUGCCACAAACCCGUAGAUCCGAACUUGUGGUGUCUCUGUGCACAAGCUCGUGUCUAUAGGUAUGUGUCUGCG